AUCCUUCUGUUGUUCAUAAAUGUGAUGACUGCAUUUUCAUGCCCACCUAUGAGAUAUGCCUCCCUUACGCAUUGUUACAAUUCCAGCACGUUACCCCUCUGAUA
Molecule: small nucleolar RNA, 104 nt
Organism: Otolemur garnettii (small-eared galago)
Lineage: Eukaryota; Metazoa; Chordata; Mammalia; Primates; Galagidae
Source: Ensembl